This 216-nucleotide ribosomal RNA is filed under the name Glomeromycotina sp. Its description in RNAcentral is "partial small subunit ribosomal RNA". The stretch from base 40 to 216 matches the Rfam family "Eukaryotic small subunit ribosomal RNA", at positions 686 to 864 of the family's 1831-position model. Lineage: Eukaryota; Fungi; Glomeromycota. The record is from RNAcentral.
GGGUCAGUAGGUUGGUCGUGCCACCGGUACGUACUGGUCUCACUGAUUCCUCCUUCCUGAAGAACCGUAAUGCCAUUAAUUUGGUGUUGCGGGGACACAGGACUGUUACUUUGAAAAGAUUAGAGUGUUUAAAGCAAGCUAACGCUUGAAUACAUUAGCAUGGAAUAAUGAAAUAGGACGAUCGAUCCUAUUUUGUUGGUUUCUAGGAUUGACGUA